Molecule: non-coding RNA, 757 nt
Organism: Podarcis muralis (Common wall lizard)
Lineage: Eukaryota; Metazoa; Chordata; Lepidosauria; Squamata; Lacertidae
Source: RefSeq, a predicted model, not a curated record
UUUUUGUCGGUCCAAACCGCAAGAAGCGGCAGCUGCGAUAGGUCAGAAGAGAUGCGAUCAUUCAGGCUCCGCCUUCCUGAUAAAGUACCCGAUGCAAAGUGCCUAGCCCUGCUUGGUUUGGUUGCACAGUAGGGAGGGACACAGUUCAAAAGAGCGGGGCAGGGCACACCUGACCUGGAAUUAACCCUUCACUGACAGAAACAUGGCUGGUUGGUGUCAUUCAGUUUACAGCUGAGAACAUAAAGAAGCCACAGAGAAAAGGGUGGGAAUCCCCAACCUUUGUUCCAUGACAUCUUUUAAAGACUGGCCAAAUUUAGAUAAAGCUCAUUUUCUCAGUGGAACCCUGUGUGCACGAAAACCGGGAUUAAGGAUCACAAACCAACAGAGAAUGGGAAAAUCCUGGAGAGAGAGAGAGCCGGCAAGCUGCAGUUGGAGGGAAGCCAAGAUCUCAGAUAAGAGAUGCUUCAUUGAUUGAAACAAGGUCCAUCCAAGUGCCUGAAACUUACUCAGCCUCAGCUUUUGGGGUGGGAACUGUCCUGUGCUGGAGAAAACUCUGAACCGGUUUUGAAGCAUAUCUUCUUACCAUUUUCAGAAAGGACUUGCAACUUUUUAAGAAUAACUUUCUCAACGUACUUUUAAAUCCCCUUUUGUAUACAAUGUGUGUGGCUUUUGGCAAUGCUGCUCACUAGUGCUUUUUUCCCCUUAAAAAAUGUUUAGGGGUACUAUCAUUUUGACUCAAGAAAAUCACCAUUUUGUA